Molecule: ribosomal RNA, 1314 nt
Filed under: Arthrobacter sp.
Lineage: Bacteria; Bacillati; Actinomycetota; Actinomycetes; Micrococcales; Micrococcaceae
Description: bacterial SSU rRNA
Rfam family: Bacterial small subunit ribosomal RNA
Source: RNAcentral
ACGGGUGAGUAACACGUGAGUAACCUGCCCUUGACUCUGGGAUAAGCCUGGGAAACUGGGUCUAAUACCGGAUAUGACCUUCCAUCGCAUGGUGGUUGGUGGAAAGCUUUUGUGGUUUUGGAUGGACUCGCGGCCUAUCAGCUUGUUGGUGGGGUAAUGGCCUACCAAGGCGACGACGGGUAGCCGGCCUGAGAGGGUGACCGGCCACACUGGGACUGAGACACGGCCCAGACUCCUACGGGAGGCAGCAGUGGGGAAUAUUGCACAAUGGGCGCAAGCCUGAUGCAGCGACGCCGCGUGAGGGAUGACGGCCUUCGGGUUGUAAACCUCUUUCAGUAGGGAAGAAGCGUAAGUGACGGUACCUGCAGAAGAAGCGCCGGCUAACUACGUGCCAGCAGCCGCGGUAAUACGUAGGGCGCAAGCGUUAUCCGGAAUUAUUGGGCGUAAAGAGCUCGUAGGCGGUUUGUCGCGUCUGCCGUGAAAGUCCGGGGCUCAACUCCGGAUCUGCGGUGGGUACGGGCAGACUAGAGUGAUGUAGGGGAGACUGGAAUUCCUGGUGUAGCGGUGAAAUGCGCAGAUAUCAGGAGGAACACCGAUGGCGAAGGCAGGUCUCUGGGCAUUAACUGACGCUGAGGAGCGAAAGCAUGGGGAGCGAACAGGAUUAGAUACCCUGGUAGUCCAUGCCGUAAACGUUGGGCACUAGGUGUGGGGGACAUUCCACGUUUUCCGCGCCGUAGCUAACGCAUUAAGUGCCCCGCCUGGGGAGUACGGCCGCAAGGCUAAAACUCAAAGGAAUUGACGGGGGCCCGCACAAGCGGCGGAGCAUGCGGAUUAAUUCGAUGCAACGCGAAGAACCUUACCAAGGCUUGACAUGAACCGGAAAGACCUGGAAACAGGUCCCCCACUUGUGGUCGGUUUACAGGUGGUGCAUGGUUGUCGUCAGCUCGUGUCGUGAGAUGUUGGGUUAAGUCCCGCAACGAGCGCAACCCUCGUUCUAUGUUGCCAGCACGUGAUGGUGGGGACUCAUAGGAGACUGCCGGGGUCAACUCGGAGGAAGGUGGGGACGACGUCAAAUCAUCAUGCCCCUUAUGUCUUGGGCUUCACGCAUGCUACAAUGGCCGGUACAAAGGGUUGCGAUACUGUGAGGUGGAGCUAAUCCCAAAAAGCCGGUCUCAGUUCGGAUUGGGGUCUGCAACUCGACCCCAUGAAGUCGGAGUCGCUAGUAAUCGCAGAUCAGCAACGCUGCGGUGAAUACGUUCCCGGGCCUUGUACACACCGCCCGUCAAGUCACGAAAGUUGGUAACACCCGAAGCC